This 1318-nucleotide ribosomal RNA is filed under the name Nocardia asteroides. Its description in RNAcentral is "bacterial SSU rRNA". It matches the Rfam family "Bacterial small subunit ribosomal RNA", at positions 29 to 1363 of the family's 1533-position model. Lineage: Bacteria; Bacillati; Actinomycetota; Actinomycetes; Mycobacteriales; Nocardiaceae. The record is from RNAcentral.
ACGAACGCUGGCGGCGUGCUUAACACAUGCAAGUCGAGCGGUAAGGCCCUUCGGGGUACACGAGCGGCGAACGGGUGAGUAACACGUGGGUGAUCUGCCUCGCACUUCGGGAUAAGCCUGGGAAACUGGGUCUAAUACCGGAUAUGACCUGCUGUCGCAUGGCGGUGGGUGGAAAGAUUUAUCGGUGCGAGAUGGNCCCGCGGCCUAUCAGCUUGUUGGUGGGGUAAUGGCCUACCAAGGCGACGACGGGUAGCCGGCCUGAGAGGGCGACCGGCCACACUGGGACUGAGACACGGCCCAGACUCCUACGGGAGGCAGCAGUGGGGAAUAUUGCACAAUGGGCGAAAGCCUGAUGCAGCGACGCCGCGUGAGGGAUGACGGCCUUCGGGUUGUAAACCUCUUUCGACAGGGACGAAGCGCAAGUGACGGUACCUGUAGAAGAAGCACCGGCCAACUACGUGCCAGCAGCCGCGGUAAUACGUAGGGUGCGAGCGUUGUCCGGAAUUACUGGGCGUAAAGAGCUUGUAGGCGGUUUGUCGCGUCGUCUGUGAAAACUCNCAGCUCAACUGUGAGCUUGCAGGCGAUACGGGCAGACUUGAGUACUGCAGGGGAGACUGGAAUUCCUGGUGUAGCGGUGAAAUGCGCAGAUAUCAGGAGGAACACCGGUGGCGAAGGCGGGUCUCUGGGCAGUAACUGACGCUGAGAAGCGAAAGCGUGGGUAGCGAACAGGAUUAGAUACCCUGGUAGUCCACGNCGUAAACGGUGGGCGCUAGGUGUGGGUUUCCUUCCACGGGAUCCGUGCCGUAGCUAACGCAUUAAGCGCCCNGCCUGGGGAGUACGGCCGCAAGGCUAAAACUCAAAGGAAUUGACGGGGGCCCGCACAAGCGGCGGAGCAUGUGGAUUAAUUCGAUGCAACGCGAAGAACCUUACCUGGGUUUGACAUACACCGGAAACCUGCAGAGAUGUAGGCCCCCUUGUGGUCGGUGUACAGGUGGUGCAUGGCUGUCGUCAGCUCGUGUCGUGAGAUGUUGGGUUAAGUCCCGCAACGAGCGCAACCCUUGUCCUGUGUUGCCAGCGCGUAAUGGCGGGGACUCGCAGGAGACUGCCGGGGUCAACUCGGAGGAAGGUGGGGACGACGUCAAGUCAUCAUGCCCCUUAUGUCCAGGGCUUCACACAUGCUACAAUGGCCGGUACAGAGGGCUGCGAUACCGUGAGGUGGAGCGAAUCCCUUAAAGCCGGUCUCAGUUCGGAUCGGGGUCUGCAACUCGACCCCGUGAAGUUGGAGUCGCUAGUAAUCGCAGAUCAGCAACGCUGCGGU